Molecule: non-coding RNA, 44 nt
Filed under: unclassified sequences
Description: SAM-SAH-Weickhmann-2018 RNA
Rfam family: SAM/SAH riboswitch aptamer
Source: RNAcentral
UCUUACAACGGCUUCCUGGCGUGAGAAAACAUAUAUUUGGAGCA